This 387-nucleotide long non-coding RNA is filed under the name Ricinus communis (castor bean). Its description in RNAcentral is "long non-coding RNA (RCOM_LNC003277)". Lineage: Eukaryota; Viridiplantae; Streptophyta; Magnoliopsida; Malpighiales; Euphorbiaceae. The record is from RNAcentral.
ACCUUUUCUGAAACCCCAGACAAAUGAAAGUUCUAACAUUAAACUAGCCCAGUUCACUUGCUGUAAAGAACAUCAUGAAAUUUGAGACAUGCAAACAAGAAAUAGAAAAGAAAAGAAAAUUAAGAAAAAUGAAUAAAUAAAAAAAGAGUAACAAAGCAGAUUGAUCAAUGAUCAUGACAUGCAGAACAAGUAUCUGACAUAUAAGAUCAAAUAUAUAAGAUCAAAGAAGAAGAAAGUAGAUACCUAAGAUUUUCCCAAACUGUACUGUAAGAAAUGUCUUAGUGUGCAGUUGUAGGGACUGAGAUGAAAACGCUAAAGAAAGAGUAAAGCUACUGCCCAGGAUGCAAACAAUGUCUUAAUCUCUGUUCUAGGGAGCUUCAACUGCCG